AGGACGAACGCUGGCGGCGUGCUUAACACAUGCAAGUCGAACGGUAAGGCCUUUCGGGGUACACGAGUGGCGAACGGGUGAGUAACACGUGGGUGAUCUGCCCUGCACUUUGGGAUAAGCCUGGGAAACUGGGUCUAAUACCGAAUAUGACUAUGGGAUGCAUGUCCUGUGGUGGAAAGCUUUUGCGGUGUGGGAUGGGCCCGCGGCCUAUCAGCUUGUUGGUGGGUGAUGGUCUACCAAGGCGACGACGGGUA
This 254-nucleotide ribosomal RNA is filed under the name uncultured bacterium. Its description in RNAcentral is "partial small subunit ribosomal RNA". It matches the Rfam family "Bacterial small subunit ribosomal RNA", at positions 26 to 285 of the family's 1533-position model. The record is from RNAcentral.